Molecule: ribosomal RNA, 433 nt
Filed under: uncultured bacterium
Lineage: Bacteria
Description: partial 16S ribosomal RNA
Rfam family: Bacterial small subunit ribosomal RNA
Source: RNAcentral
AACGAACGCUGGCGGCAUGCCUAACACAUGCAAGUCGAACGAGACCUUCGGGUCUAGUGGCGCACGGGUGCGUAACGCGUGGGAACCUGCCCUUAGGUUCGGAAUAACUCCCCGAAAGGGGUGCUAAUACCGGAUAAUGUCUUCGGACCAUAGAUUUAUCGCCUUUGGAUGGGCCCGCGUUGGAUUAGCUAGUUGGUAGGGUAAAAGCCUACCAAGGCGACGAUCCAUAGCUGGUCUGAGAGGAUGAUCAGCCACACUGGGACUGAGACACGGCCCAGACUCCUACGGGAGGCAGCAGUGGGGAAUAUUGGACAAUGGGCGAAAGCCUGAUCCAGCAAUGCCGCGUGAGUGAUGAAGGCCUUAGGGUUGUAAAGCUCUUUUACCCGGGAUGAUAAUGACAGUACCGGGAGAAUAAGCUCCGGCUAACUCCGUG